RNAcentral lists this ribosomal RNA (429 nucleotides) under Fusobacteriota bacterium. RNAcentral's name for it is "Fusobacteria bacterium partial 16S ribosomal RNA". It matches the Rfam family "Bacterial small subunit ribosomal RNA", at positions 355 to 776 of the family's 1533-position model. The record is from RNAcentral. Lineage: Bacteria; Fusobacteriati; Fusobacteriota.
UGGGGAAUCUUCCGCAAUGGACGAAAGUCUGACGGAGCAACGCCGCGUGAGUGAAGACGGCCUUCGGGUUGUAAAGCUCUGUGAUCCGGGACGAAAGAGCCUGAGGUAAAUAGCCUAAGGAAGUGACGGUACCGGAAAAGCAAGCCACGGCUAACUACGUGCCAGCAGCCGCGGUAAUACGUAGGUGGCAAGCGUUGUCCGGAAUUAUUGGGCGUAAAGCGCGCGCAGGCGGCUUACUAAGUCCAUCUUAAAAGUGCGGGGCUUAACCCCGUGAUGGGAUUGAAACUGGAAAGCUGGAGUAUCGGAGAGGAAAGUGGAAUUCCUAGUGUAGCGGUGAAAUGCGUAGAGAUUAGGAAGAACACCGGUGGCGAAGGCGACUUUCUGGACGAAAACUGACGCUGAGGCGCGAAAGCGUGGGGAGCAAACAGG